This 483-nucleotide ribosomal RNA is filed under the name uncultured bacterium. Its description in RNAcentral is "bacterial SSU rRNA". It matches the Rfam family "Bacterial small subunit ribosomal RNA", at positions 29 to 524 of the family's 1533-position model. The record is from RNAcentral.
AGUGAACGCUGGCGGCGUGCUUAACACAUGCAAGUCGAGCGAAUUUCAACAGCGUAUCGUUGGAGUUAGCGGCAGACGGGUGAGUAAUAUUUAGACAAUCUUCCCUCGAGUGGGAAACAACCUGGCGAAAGUCGGGCUAAUGUCCCAUAAGACCACGGAGUGGCAUCAUUCAGAGGUCAAAGGUCCGCAAGGGCCGCUGGAGGAGGAGUCUAAAUCCUAUCANGGUAGUUGGUGAGGUAACGGCUCACCAAGCCUACGACGGGUAGCCGGCCUGAAGGGUGAUCGGCCACACUGGGACUGAGACACGGCCCAGACUCCUACGGGAGGCAGCAGUGGGGAAUAUUGGACAAUGGGCGCAAGCCUGAUCCAGCAAUGCCGCGUGGGUGAAGAAGGUCUUCGGAUUGUAAAGCCCUUUCGACGGGACGAUGAUGACGGUACCCGUAGAAGAAGCCCGGCUAACUUCGUGCCAGCCGCCGCCGUAAG